This is a long non-coding RNA of Ailuropoda melanoleuca (giant panda), 728 nucleotides long. RefSeq lists it as uncharacterized. NCBI's taxonomy places the organism in Eukaryota, Metazoa, Chordata, Mammalia, Carnivora, Ursidae. The transcript is spliced from 3 exons. The record is from RefSeq and is a predicted model, not a curated record.
CCCAGGCAGGGGAAACCGGAGACCCCGCGGCUGCGGCUGGGAGGGCGGCCCCAGACUGGGCUGGGCUAGAUGGGGUACUGGGUGGGCUCCUGCCUCCUUAUAGAACCCCUCCAGUCCGCUAACGCACCGCGGGAUCGAACUGUGGCUUCCAGCCCUGAGCUCCCUCCCUUAUCACCUGUUGCUUCCUCAGGCCUCCUGGCCUCUGAGAUUUCCCCUACCUUCACUCUAGACCUUCAGUCCUUCAGAGUACAUCUCUUGGCAUCCGAAGGAAGCUGGAUAACUGAGUACCUUCCUUGGCACAGGGGAAGAAAGAGAGACUUGGGGGGUGUCUCCCCAGCAAGCUCUGACCUGAGCUACUACACAGGCCAGUUUCCGAGGUAUUUGGGGGCAGGAGAGGACCCACCGACAGAGGACCAGGCCUAGGCAUUCACUGGAGCACUUUCCCUGAAGCCCAGAGAGAAGCAGGCUCCUAGCGGAGGAGCCUGAUGCGGGGCUCGAUUCCAGAACGCCGGGAUCACUCCCUGAGCCGAAGGCAGACACCUAACAACUGAGCCACCCAGGUGCCCCAGUUACACACAUAUCCUGAUCAAGUCAACAAAGUCCCAGCUCUGCUAGUACUCAAAUUCCAGACAAGAGGUAGCAGUUGAACAUACAAGAUAGAGAAAGAAUAAUUGAUAGGUGUAUAAUCAGCCACCCCUCACAACGCUGGUGCAGCAGCUCUUUCUGCC